Molecule: long non-coding RNA, 1447 nt
Organism: Arvicola amphibius (Eurasian water vole)
Lineage: Eukaryota; Metazoa; Chordata; Mammalia; Rodentia; Cricetidae
Exons: 2
Source: RefSeq, a predicted model, not a curated record
CUCAGGGAAGCGAGGCUGAAGAGCAGUUACUGUUUUAGCUGUAAAAUCUGAAAAAUAUCUGAGAAAACACACAGAGAGAGACACACAGAGAGAGAGAGAGACAGAGACACAAAGAGAGACGACAGAGAGAGACAGAGAGAGAGAGAGACUGAGAGAUGAAGGGGAAGACCUGCCUUUAGAGAAUAGUAUAGUGAAGACGUGCAAAAUUUAGAUGGAUGUGCCAACAAAAUCCUGAGGAAGUUGUGACAUUGCAAAUUAGCGCAUACAAACACUACAUGUACCCACAGGUACAUGCACCCACAUGGUGUCAAAGUGCUGUGGUACUGUAGAUAAUAGGAACUCCUAAGUUGUCCAAGCAAAAAAGAGGAAACCAACUUUAGCAGCUACUUAACGUGAAGAGGAGUCGAGUCGACAGUCUGAAAUGAAGAGACGGACUAGAUUUGACAAGUUCCCCUCACCGACCCUGCGUUAGAAUGCCCUGUCUCCUAGGGAACUGUGGAAACUCUGGUUUCCAUUUCAACACCGGAGGCAAACCCUGGACUACAUACAAGCCACCAAGCAGAACGACCCACCUGGAUGUAUGAAGAGUAAGAGCUGAAGUUUCUCCAGAAUUCCAAACAAGGGCUCCAAAGGCCACUGUGCCUGAAGACUAAAGGCCUUGCUGGCAGCUUCACUUCCCUUUCCUAUGACGAAUUUUUAGGGUAGGGGUUGGCAGAUGUCAGGACACAUGGACUCAGUGUCUGCUAGAAAUAUGUAAGCAAAUUGGACUUUGGGGUGUCUAUUAUUCCAGGAUCCUAAGAAAUUGUCACUUCUAAGAUUUGAUAGUGAUGAUUUGAAAUUAUUUCUCUCCAAGGCAUAUUCUUUUCAAUGAGUCGAAGUCUUGCUGAGAUUAUAUAUGCAGAGAACACUUUUAGAGACUGCAGCAUCUAGGUGGUAGCAUGUGGAAAGGACUCGAUCAGUAACACUCCACAGGUUCAGAAAUGCUCCUCAAAAAGGACUGUAACGUACUUGUCAGGUGAAUCCAGGAAGUGCUAAGGCCCUUUAAGCAGAUGUACAUGACUUGCUGAAAAUCCAUACCAGGGAUCUCUUUGUAGACAGAAGAGAGCUCCACAUAUUUCAGGUGGGGUGGGGGUACCUCCACAGGCGUUCUUCAGGAACAGGCAAUUGGAGAGCAUGCAUGUCUGAGCGCCUAUCACAUGGCUUAAGGCAAGUCUAAGGAGAAUAACCUACAAGAAAUUGGCAGUGUAUCUAAAACUCCUGAGUCUAAAUAUCACUAAAAAAUGAUUUUUCUGUAUGCUGGCUAUCAAAAUGAGUUAUAAUACAAUAACUGUAAUAAAACCCAUCUGUUCUGUUUUAAUGAACAAAAACUUCGUUUUCACUAGGGUUAGUGAAAGAAAGACCAAAAAAAAUACGAACAAGAAGUUCAUUAAAAAGUAACUUGUUUUGG